UACGAAGGGUGCAAACGUUGCUCGGAAUCAUUGGGCGUAAAGCGCACGUAGGCGGCUUCGCAAGUCGGAUGUGAAAUCCCUCGGCUCAACCGAGGACGUGCAUACGAAACUGCGGAGCUUGAGUGCUGAAGAGGAUCGCGGAAUUCCCGGUGUAGAGGUGAAAUUCGUAGAUAUCGGAAGGAACAUCAGUGGCGAAAGCGACUUCCUGGACCAGUACCGACGUUCAGGCACGAAAGCGUGGGGAGCAAACAGG
RNAcentral lists this ribosomal RNA (253 nucleotides) under uncultured bacterium. RNAcentral describes it as "partial 16S ribosomal RNA". It matches the Rfam family "Bacterial small subunit ribosomal RNA", at positions 524 to 776 of the family's 1533-position model. The record is from RNAcentral.